CCCUUAGAUGUUCUGGGCCGCACGCGCGCUACACUGAUGGAUUCAUCGAGCUUUCUCCCUUGACUGAGAGGUCUGGGCAAUCUUUUGAACGUCCAUCGUGCUGGGGAUAGAUGAUUGUAAUUAUUCAUCUUCAACGAGGAAUUCCUAGUAAACGCAAGUCAUCAACUUGCAUUGAUUACGUCCCUGCCCUUUGUACACACCGCCCGUCGCUACUACCGAUUGAAUGGAUUAGUGAGCUUCAAGGAUCGGU
This 250-nucleotide ribosomal RNA is filed under the name Durinskia baltica. RNAcentral describes it as "partial Eukaryotic small subunit ribosomal RNA". It matches the Rfam family "Eukaryotic small subunit ribosomal RNA", at positions 1470 to 1719 of the family's 1831-position model. Lineage: Eukaryota; Dinophyceae; Peridiniales; Kryptoperidiniaceae. The record is from RNAcentral.